CCGCCUGGGGAGUACGGCCGCAAGGUUAAAACUCAAAUGAAUUGACGGGGGCCCGCACAAGCGGUGGAGCAUGUGGUUUAAUUCGAUGCAACGCGAAGAACCUUACCUGGUCUUGACAUCCACAGAAGAAUCCAGAGAUGGAUUUGUGCCUUCGGGAACUGUGAGACAGGUGCUGCAUGGCUGUCGUCAGCUCGUGUUGUGAAAUGUUGGGUUAAGUCCCGCAACGAGCGCAACCCUUAUCCUUUGUUGCCAGCGAUUAGGCCGGGAACUCA
RNAcentral lists this ribosomal RNA (272 nucleotides) under Salmonella enterica subsp. enterica serovar 1,4,[5],12:i:-. RNAcentral describes it as "partial 16S ribosomal RNA". It matches the Rfam family "Bacterial small subunit ribosomal RNA", at positions 869 to 1141 of the family's 1533-position model. The record is from RNAcentral. Lineage: Bacteria; Pseudomonadati; Pseudomonadota; Gammaproteobacteria; Enterobacterales; Enterobacteriaceae.